AUGCACGCUGGCGGCGUGCCUAAUCCCUGCCAGUCGAGCGCACGGACGAGAAGCUUGCUUCUCUGAUGUUAGCGGCGGACGGGUGAGUAACACGUGGAUAACCUACCUAUAAGACUGGGAUAACUUCGGGAAACCGGAGCUAAUACCGGAUAAUAUUUUGAACCGCAUGGUUCAAAAGUGAAAGACGGUCUUGCUGUCACUUAUAGAUGGAUCCGCGCUGCAUUAGCUAGUUGGUAAGGUAACGGCUUACCAAGGCAACGAUGCAUAGCCGACCUGAGAGGGUGAUCGGCCACACUGGAACUGAGACACGGUCCAGACUCCUACGGGAGGCAGCAGUAGGGAAUCUUCCGCAAUGGGCGAAAGCCUGACGGAGCAACGCCGCGUGAGUGAUGAAGGUCUUCGGAUCGUAAAACUCUGUUAUUAGGGAAGAACAUAUGUGUAAGUAACUGUGCACAUCUUGACGGUACCUAAUCAGAAAGCCACGGCUAACUACGUG
RNAcentral lists this ribosomal RNA (496 nucleotides) under uncultured bacterium. RNAcentral's name for it is "partial 16S ribosomal RNA". It matches the Rfam family "Bacterial small subunit ribosomal RNA", at positions 29 to 507 of the family's 1533-position model. The record is from RNAcentral.